This 1649-nucleotide long non-coding RNA is filed under the name Triticum aestivum (bread wheat). RNAcentral's name for it is "long non-coding RNA (TAES_LNC015176)". The record is from RNAcentral. Lineage: Eukaryota; Viridiplantae; Streptophyta; Magnoliopsida; Poales; Poaceae.
CUGAAAUUCCAAAAGUCUAUCAUCAAUUUGGUCUGCUUAGUGAAUAAUGAGGGCAUUUCCUAUUUAGCGCUGCAGGCGGCCGUUAAUGUGUAUUCUGCUAACGGACGCCUCCAGCCACUUUAGCUGGGCUUGGCCCAUUUACUCCUUUUUUUUCCUGCUGUAAAGCCAAAAAAUAACAAGCGAGGUCACUGGGAUUCGAACCUAAACUUCACGGUUGGUGACGCGAAGCACAAACCAUUCCACCAUCCCGUGUUAGCUGCUCAGAUAAUGCUUCUUCCGUAUUUCUACUAUUUAGUUUUUUCCCUUUUUUCUAUUUCUUUUUCCCUUUUUUCUAUUUCUUUUUUCCUUUUUUCUUUUUUCAUCCUUUUCUUAUUCUAAAUGGUUUUUUCUUCUGUUUUUUUAUUCUUUGUACGAACACGAAAAAAAUAUCUCCUUCCUCUUUGUUCAAUGAACUUUCCAGAUCCGUCGACAUUCUCCCCAAAUAGAUGAACCUUUUUAAAAUUUGAUGAACUUCUCUUAGAAUCUAUGAAAUUUUUCAGAAUCGAUGAACUUAUUUUCAAAUUCGAUGAACUUAUUUUAAAUUAGAUGAACUUUUUUGAAAUUUGAUGAACUUUUUUCAAAUUUGAUGAACUUUUUUCAAAUCAAUUUACCUUUUUCUAAUCGAUGAAUGUUUUUCAAAAUCAAUGAACUUUUUCAAAUCCGAUGAACUAUUUUUCAAAUUUGAUGAACUGUUUUCAGAAUCGAUGAACUUAUUUCCAAAUUUGAUGAACUUAUUUUAAAUUAGAUGAAAUUUUUUGAAAUUCGAUGAACUUUUUUCAAAUCAAUCAACUUUUUUCUAAUCGAUAACGUUUUUCAAAAUCAAUGAACUUUUUUCAAAUCUGAUGAACUAUUUUUCAAAUUCGAUGAUCUUUUUUCAAAAACGAUGAACUUUCUUUCAAUAUGAUGAAAUUUUUUAAAACAUUGCUGAAAUUGUUUUCAAAUUCGUGAACUUUUUUCUCAAAUUGGUGUACUUUAUUCAAUUUUCUUGAACUUUUUUUUGUUUCACGUGAACUGUUUCAUUAUUUGUGAACUUUUAUGAAUACGUGAGUCUUUUCUUUUUUGAAUUAAAAUCGUUAACUUUUCUUAAUCUAUGAACUUUCAGUUUUUUGGAACUGCGCAGCCCGUAUUCCCUUAAUUACUGUCGAGGUCAUACUGAUCGCUAGUACUAAUUAGCUGUAGUGUUUAGCCGAGCCUGUUUAGAACACAGAGUUGUGAGUUCGAAUCCUGUGCGCUGCAACUAUUUUCAGGAAUUUUUGUUCGCUGGCGUUACGCGCUCGUCGGCCGGCCCAGCAAGACGCUGCUGCGAGCGCCAGUUGGCUAGAUGGCGCUGAACGCGCGCGUAGUAGGAUCCCAAUAAUGAGCACCUGGUGAACAAGUGCUGGUAGGCUUGGCCUACUUCCUGCGUGGAAUAUUUGUGUAGCUGUGUGUUUACUACAAAAAUUUCCCUUGAGAUCAAGCAGGGACACCUUUAGGCUGAUUCAAGAGUGCUACGUGCUAUAUGAUCACUAUGUUGCGUUGUUCAAUAAUCAACAGUUUCAGUCCAGUUUCUCUUGUAUCCUUUCUCCACUGUGCACUUCAAUUUGCAAUGAAAUUGGGCAUGCUGUUUUUUU